AAAAAUUAUUAACCUCCUGGAUGAGGAAACUGAGGCUCAGAGAGUCUUUUAAAGUAACAUUCCUACAGCUGCCAGCUUUGUGUAUGGCGGGACCAUGGCCGCAGCCCAGUUCAGAGGGCCAAGGAGUGCUUUCACCACCAAGCCCAUCACUGCACAGGGUGGGGAAACAGGGCUUGAGAGCCACCCCCGGUCUUGCUGGGAGUGGGCUGGAGUGACACUCCUUGAACACCCCCCAUGUGCCCGUCAGAGAGCCUGGCGCCUCCCACUCCACCAGUUCCCCGUGACGGUGGAAUGAGGUUCGCUGCGUGCCACACUCUGGAAACUCUAAAGUGCCCUCUGGCCUCAGAGGUCCUUGUUAACCACGCAACCCUCACCCGCUUCAUUCAUAGCCUGACUGACAGAGGGGGCCUGAGAGUUCAGGGGCAACAGGGACACCUGGAGAACUUGUUACCAUGCAGAUGGUCGCGCCUAGCCCCACAGAUUCUGAUUCCGUUGGUUGGGGCCAGGCCAGGGACUAUGCAUUUCUGACAACGGCCC
Molecule: long non-coding RNA, 537 nt
Filed under: Equus caballus (horse)
Lineage: Eukaryota; Metazoa; Chordata; Mammalia; Perissodactyla; Equidae
Description: lncRNA (ENSECAG00000059331.1)
Source: RNAcentral